GGGAACUGAAACAUCUAAGUACCCCGAGGAAAAGAAAUCAACCGAGAUUCCCCCAGUAGCGGCGAGCGAACGGGGAGCAGCCCAGAGCCUGAAUCAGUGUGUGUGUUAGUGGAAGCGUCUGGAAAGGCGUGCGAUACAGGGUGACAGCCCCGUACACAAAAAUGCACAUACUGUGAGCUCGAUGAGUAGGGCGGGACACGUGGUAUCCUGUCUGAAUAUGGGGGGACCAUCCUCCAAGGCUAAAUACUCCUGACUGACCGAUAGUGAACCAGUACCGUGAGGGAAAGGCGAAAAGAACCCCGGCGAGGGGAGUGAAAAAGAACCUGAAACCGUGUACGUACAAGCAGUGGGAGCACGCUUAGGCGUGUGACUGCGUACCUUUUGUAUAAUGGGUCAGCGACUUAUAUUCUGUAGCAAGGUUAACCGAAUAGGGGAGCCGAAGGGAAACCGAGUCUUAACUGGGCGUUAAGUUGCAGGGUAUAGACCCGAAACCCGGUGAUCUAGCCAUGGGCAGGUUGAAGGUUGGGUAACACUAACUGGAGGACCGAACCGACUAAUGUUGAAAAAUUAGCGGAUGACUUGUGGCUGGGGGUGAAAGGCCAAUCAAACCGGGAGAUAGCUGGUUCUCCCCGAAAGCUAUUUAGGUAGCGCCUCGUGAAUUCAUCUCCGGGGGUAGAGCACUGUUUCGGCAAGGGGGUCAUCCCGACUUACCAACCCGAUGCAAACUGCGAAUACCGGAGAAUGUUAUCACGGGAGACACACGGCGGGUGCUAACGUCCGUCGUGAAGAGGGAAACAACCCAGACCGCCAGCUAAGGUCCCAAAGUCAUGGUUAAGUGGGAAACGAUGUGGGAAGGCCCAGACAGCCAGGAUGUUGGCUUAGAAGCAGCCAUCAUUUAAAGAAAGCGUAAUAGCUCACUGGUCGAGUCGGCCUGCGCGGAAGAUGUAACGGGGCUAAACCAUGCACCGAAGCUGCGGCAGCGACGCUUAUGCGUUGUUGGGUAGGGGAGCGUUCUGUAAGCCUGUGAAGGUGUGCUGUGAGGUAUGCUGGAGGUAUCAGAAGUGCGAAUGCUGACAUAAGUAACGAUAAAGCGGGUGAAAAGCCCGCUCGCCGGAAGACCAAGGGUUCCUGUCCAACGUUAAUCGGGGCAGGGUGAGUCGACCCCUAAGGCGAGGCCGAAAGGCGUAGUCGAUGGGAAACAGGUUAAUAUUCCUGUACUUGGUGUUACUGCGAAGGGGGGACGGAGAAGGCUAUGUUGGCCGGGCGACGGUUGUCCCGGUUUAAGCGUGUAGGCUGGUUUUCCAGGCAAAUCCGGAAAAUCAAGGCCGAGGCGUGAUGACGAGGCACUACGGUGCUGAAGCAACAAAUGCCCUGCUUCCAGGAAAAGCCUCUAAGCAUCAGGUAACAUCAAAUCGUACCCCAAACCGACACAGGUGGUCAGGUAGAGAAUACCAAGGCGCUUGAGAGAACUCGGGUGAAGGAACUAGGCAAAAUGGUGCCGUAACUUCGGGAGAAGGCACGCUGAUACGUAGGUGAAGCGACUUGCUCGUGGAGCUGAAAUCAGUCGAAGAUACCAGCUGGCUGCAACUGUUUAUUAAAAACACAGCACUGUGCAAACACGAAAGUGGACGUAUACGGUGUGACGCCUGCCCGGUGCCGGAAGGUUAAUUGAUGGGGUUAGCGCAAGCGAAGCUCUUGAUCGAAGCCCCGGUAAACGGCGGCCGUAACUAUAACGGUCCUAAGGUAGCGAAAUUCCUUGUCGGGUAAGUUCCGACCUGCACGAAUGGCGUAAUGAUGGCCAGGCUGUCUCCACCCGAGACUCAGUGAAAUUGAACUCGCUGUGAAGAUGCAGUGUACCCGCGGCAAGACGGAAAGACCCCGUGAACCUUUACUAUAGCUUGACACUGAACAUUGAGCCUUGAUGUGUAGGAUAGGUGGGAGGCUUUGAAGUGUGGACGCCAGUCUGCAUGGAGCCGACCUUGAAAUACCACCCUUUAAUGUUUGAUGUUCUAACGUGGACCCGUGAUCCGGGUUGCGGACAGUGUCUGGUGGGUAGUUUGACUGGGGCGGUCUCCUCCUAAAGAGUAACGGAGGAGCACGAAGGUUGGCUAAUCCUGGUCGGACAUCAGGAGGUUAGUGCAAUGGCAUAAGCCAGCUUGACUGCGAGCGUGACGGCGCGAGCAGGUGCGAAAGCAGGUCAUAGUGAUCCGGUGGUUCUGAAUGGAAGGGCCAUCGCUCAACGGAUAAAAGGUACUCCGGGGAUAACAGGCUGAUACCGCCCAAGAGUUCAUAUCGACGGCGGUGUUUGGCACCUCGAUGUCGGCUCAUCACAUCCUGGGGCUGAAGUAGGUCCCAAGGGUAUGGCUGUUCGCCAUUUAAAGUGGUACGCGAGCUGGGUUUAGAACGUCGUGAGACAGUUCGGUCCCUAUCUGCCGUGGGCGCUGGAGAACUGAGGGGGGCUGCUCCUAGUACGAGAGGACCGGAGUGGACGCAUCACUGGUGUUCGGGUUGUCAUGCCAAUGGCACUGCCCGGUAGCUAAAUGCGGAAGAGAUAAGUGCUGA
This 2562-nucleotide ribosomal RNA is filed under the name Shigella flexneri. RNAcentral describes it as "partial 23S ribosomal RNA". It matches the Rfam family "Bacterial large subunit ribosomal RNA", at positions 188 to 2774 of the family's 2925-position model. Lineage: Bacteria; Pseudomonadati; Pseudomonadota; Gammaproteobacteria; Enterobacterales; Enterobacteriaceae. The record is from RNAcentral.